AACGAACGCUGGCGGCAGGCUUAACACAUGCAAGUCGAACGCAUCCUUCGGGGUGAGUGGCAGACGGGUGAGUAACGCGUGGGAACGUGCCCUUCAGUUCGGGAUAACCCAGGGAAACUUGGGCUAAUACCGGAUACGUGCGAGAGCAGAAAGAUUUAUCGCUGAAGGAUCGGCCCGCGUCUGAUUAGCUAGUUGGGGGGGUAAUGGCCCACCAAGGCGACGAUCAGUAGCUGGUCUGAGAGGAUGAUCAGCCCCAUUGGGACUGCGACACGGCCCAAACUCCUACGGGAGGCAGCGGUGGGGAAUAUUGGACAAUGGGCGCAAGCCUGAUCCAGCCAUGCCGCGUGAGUGAUGAAGGCCUUAGGGUUGUAAAGCUCUUUCGUCCGGGACGAUAAUGACGGUACCGGAAGAAGAAGCCCCGGCUAACUUCGUGCCAGCCGCCGCGGUAA
Molecule: ribosomal RNA, 449 nt
Filed under: uncultured bacterium
Lineage: Bacteria
Description: partial 16S ribosomal RNA
Rfam family: Bacterial small subunit ribosomal RNA
Source: RNAcentral